This 1249-nucleotide ribosomal RNA is filed under the name Hyboscarta melichari. RNAcentral describes it as "SSU rRNA". It matches the Rfam family "Eukaryotic small subunit ribosomal RNA", at positions 719 to 1804 of the family's 1831-position model. Lineage: Eukaryota; Metazoa; Arthropoda; Insecta; Hemiptera; Cercopidae. The record is from RNAcentral.
GGACCUGUGUUCCACGCUGUCGGUUCGCCGCCCGUCGGUGUCAACUGGCAUGUCCUGUGGAACGUCCUGCCGGUGGCGGUCCGGGCUUUCGGCUUGCGUAAGGGCUCACGCCCGAAGCAGGCCGAACAGUACCGGCCGCCGGUCCAAUCCCGCCACGGUGCUCUUCACCGAGUGUCGAGGUGGGCCGGCACGUUUACUUUGAACAAAUUAGAGUGCUUAAAGCAGGCUGGUGUCCGCCUGAAUACUGUGUGCAUGGAAUAAUAGAAUAGGACCUCGGUUCUAUUUUGUUGGUUUUCGGAACCCGAGGUAAUGAUUAAUAGGGACAGGCGGGGGCAUUCGUAUUGCGACGUUAGAGGUGAAAUUCUUGGAUCGUCGCAAGACGAACCUAAGCGAAAGCAUUUGCCAAGUAUGUUCUCGUUAAUCAAGAACGAAAGUUAGAGGUUCGAAGGCGAUCAGAUACCGCCCUAGUUCUAACCAUAAACGAUGCCAGCCAGCGAUCCGCCGAAGUUCCUCCGAUGACUCGGCGGGCAGCUUCCGGGAAACCAAAGCUUUUGGGUUCCGGGGGAAGUAUGGUUGCAAAGCUGAAACUUAAAGGAAUUGACGGAAGGGCACCACCAGGAGUGGAGCCUGCGGCUUAAUUUGACUCAACACGGGAAACCUCACCAGGCCCGGACACCGGAAGGAUUGACAGAUUGAGAGCUCUUUCUUGAUUCGGUGGGUGGUGGUGCAUGGCCGUUCUUAGUUGGUGGAGCGAUUUGUCUGGUUAAUUCCGAUAACGAACGAGACUCUAGCCUGCUAACUAGGCGAUUCCGGUACCCACAAUAGUGUUACCGGCGAUUCAAUUUCUUCUUAGAGGGACAGGCGGCUCCUAGCCGCACGAGACUGAGCAAUAACAGGUCUGUGAUGCCCUUAGAUGUCCUGGGCCGCACGCGCGCUACACUGAAGGAAUCAGCGUGUCUUCCCUGGCCGACAGGCCCGGGUAACCCGUUGAACCUCCUUCGUGCUAGGGAUUGGGGCUUGCAAUUGUUCCCCAUGAACGAGGAAUUCCCAGUAAGCGCGAGUCAUAAGCUCGCGUUGAUUACGUCCCUGCCCUUUGUACACACCGCCCGUCGCUACUACCGAUUGAAUGAUUUAGUGAGGUCUUCGGACUGGUGCGCGGCGAUCGGCCUAUACUGCCGGCCGCCGAUGUUGCCGGAAAGAUGACCAAACUUGAUCAUUUAGAGGAAGUAAAAGUCGUAACAAGGUUUCC